Molecule: ribosomal RNA, 497 nt
Filed under: uncultured bacterium
Lineage: Bacteria
Description: partial 16S ribosomal RNA
Rfam family: Bacterial small subunit ribosomal RNA
Source: RNAcentral
GACGAACGCUGGCGGCGUGCCUAAUACAUGCAAGUUGAGCGAUGAAGAUUGGUGCUUGCACCAAUUUGAAGAGCAGCGAACGGGUGAGUAACGCGUGGGGAAUCUGCCUUUGAGCGGGGGACAACAUUUGGAAACGAAUGCUGAUACCGCAUAAUAACUUUAAACAUAAGUUUUAAGUUUGAAAGAUGCAAUUGCAUCACUCAAAGAUGAUCCCGCGUUGUAUUAGCUAGUUGGUGAGGUAAAGGCUCACCAAGGCGAUGAUACAUAGCCGACCUGAGAGGGUGAUCGGCCACAUUGGGACUGAGACACGGCCCAAACUCCUACGGGAGGCAGCAGUAGGGAAUCUUCGGCAAUGGACGAAAGUCUGACCGAGCAACGCCGCGUGAGUGAAGAAGGUUUUCGGAUCGUAAAACUCUGUUGGUAGAGAAGAACGUUGGUGAGAGUGGAAAGCUCAUCAAGUGACGGUAACUACCCAGAAAGGGACGGCUAACUACGUG